This 96-nucleotide small nuclear RNA is filed under the name Jaculus jaculus (lesser Egyptian jerboa). Lineage: Eukaryota; Metazoa; Chordata; Mammalia; Rodentia; Dipodidae. The record is from RNAcentral.
GUGCUCACUUUGGCAGCACAUAUACUAAAAUUGGAACAAUACAGAGAUGAUUAGCAUGAGGAUGGCAUGCAAAUUUAUCAAGUGUUCCAUUUUUUU